Molecule: unclassified non-coding RNA, 1415 nt
Filed under: uncultured Neocallimastigales
Lineage: Eukaryota; Fungi; Neocallimastigomycota; Neocallimastigomycetes; Neocallimastigales
Description: partial contains small subunit ribosomal RNA, internal transcribed spacer 1, 5.8S ribosomal RNA, internal transcribed spacer 2, and large subunit ribosomal RNA
Rfam family: Eukaryotic large subunit ribosomal RNA (bases 658-1415)
Source: RNAcentral
UUUCCGUAGGUGAACCUGCGGAAGGAUCAUUAAAAAAUUGGACUCCAUUGGUGAGUUCAUUAAUAAUCCCUACCCUUUGUGAAUUUGUUUGUUUGAAUAAUUUUUUUUCCAAAAAAAAUUAUUGAAUGUCUUUCCUUGUUUUGGUGGAGCUUGUAAAGUGAAACCAGGCAGGGGAAUGGCAAACAAUAAUUAUUUUUUAAAAAGACCUUUUUUAAAAUUAAACUUUUUGUAUUCAUUUGUCUAAAAUUAAUUUUUAUAAUAUAAAAACAACUUUUGACAAUGGAUCUCUUGGUUCUCGCAACGAUGAAGAACGCAGCAAAAUGCGAUAAGUAGUGUGAAUUGCAGAAUACGUGAAUCAUCGAAUCUUCGAACGCAUAUUGCACUUUUUUAGUUUACUAAAAAAGUAUGUCUGUUUGAGUAUCAGUAAAAUAUUCUCAUAAAAAAUAUUGUUUUUUUAUGGUUAUGAGUGUUUUACAACGAUAACAAGUUGUUUCACUUUAAAUUCUUUGUUAUCAAAAAAAUCAUUAAAAGCUAAUUUAAAGAUUUUUUAAAAUUGGAUAAAAUUUUCCCGUAAAAAGGAAUAACCUAAACAAUUUUAAAAAAUUAAAAUUGGUUUGAUUUUUUUGAAACCCAAAGGAAAAAAAAACGAAAUUAACUUGAUCUCAAAUCAGAUAAGAGUACCCGCUGAACUUAAGCAUAUCAAUAAGCGGAGGAAAAGAAACUAACUAGGAUUCCCUCAGUAACGGCGAGUGAAGCGGGAAGAGCUCAAAUUUGAAAUCUUCAAGGUUUUACCUUGACGAAUUGUAGUUUAAAGAAGUGUUUUCUGUUGGAGUUUUGGUAAAAGUUCUUUGGAAAAGGACAUCAUAGAGGGUGAGAAUCCCGUAUUUGACCAUUAUCUCCAGCUUUGUGAUACACUUUCAAAGAGUCGGAUUGUUUGGGAAUGCAGUCCAAAAUGGGUGGUAAAUUUCAUCUAAAGCUAAAUACUGGCGAGAGACCGAUAGCGAACAAGUACCGUGAGGGAAAGAUGAAAAGAACUUUGAAAAGAGAGUUAAACAGUACGUGAAAUUGUCAAAAGGGAAGCGUUUGACACCAGUGUUGUUUUCUCGAAAAUCAAUUAAAAAAGGCCGGAUUUUGUGUUGUAUUGACUUUAUCAGCUUUCUGCACUCUUUUCUUGUCUUUUUUAAUGCACUUUUCGUUUAACAAGUCAACAUCAAUUUCUUUUGUUGUAAAAGGGUCAUUGGAAGGUGGCUUUCUUUUCGGAGAAAGUGUUUAUAGCCUUUGGCCUCUGCAAUCGGAGAGAUUGAGGUCUGCAGCGUAGAUCCUUCGGGGUUAGAUACAUUUGUGCUAAGUUAUAGCCUUUCAUAGACAACUUGUUGACUAUGAUCAGUCAUGUAGCUUACUCGCUUAUGCUAUUU